This 19-nucleotide unclassified non-coding RNA is filed under the name Chlamydomonas reinhardtii. Its description in RNAcentral is "small RNA Cre_1598". The record is from RNAcentral. Lineage: Eukaryota; Viridiplantae; Chlorophyta; Chlorophyceae; Chlamydomonadales; Chlamydomonadaceae.
GAGCUGCUGGCAUCAAGCC